This 320-nucleotide ribosomal RNA is filed under the name Salmonella enterica subsp. enterica serovar Heidelberg. Its description in RNAcentral is "partial 23S ribosomal RNA". It matches the Rfam family "Bacterial large subunit ribosomal RNA", at positions 1121 to 1358 of the family's 2925-position model. Lineage: Bacteria; Pseudomonadati; Pseudomonadota; Gammaproteobacteria; Enterobacterales; Enterobacteriaceae. The record is from RNAcentral.
AUUUAAAGAAAGCGUAAUAGCUCACUGGUCGAGUCGGCCUGCGCGGAAGAUGUAACGGGGCUAAACCAUGCACCGAAGCUGCGGCAGCGAACGUAUCACUUAAAGCGAUUCAGCGGGUUACGAUUGACGGAGCGAAGCGACGUCAAAGCGUAUACAAAGUCGAGUCGGUUUAAGGAUACGUUCGUUGGGUAGGGGAGCGUUCUGUAAGCCUGUGAAGGUGGCCUGUGAGGGUUGCUGGAGGUAUCAGAAGUGCGAAUGCUGACAUAAGUAACGAUAAAGCGGGUGAAAAGCCCGCUCGCCGGAAGACCAAGGGUUCCUGU